AACGAACGCUGGCGGCAUGCCUAACACAUGCAAGUCGAACGAGCCGCUCGGGGCGCGGGGGGCGGGGGUGUGUAACGCGGGGAAACACCCCUUGGGGCGCGGCAAAACCGCCAGACAGGGGUGAUAACAGGGGAAGACCUAACGGGGCAAAAGAUAUCUCGCCGUGGGAUGGGCCCGCGUUGGAUUAGCUUGUUGGUAGGGUAAAGGCCCACCAAGGCGACGAUCCAUAGCUGGUCUGAGAGGAUGAUCAGCCACACUGGGACUGAGACACGGCCCAGACUCCUACGGGAGGCAGCAGUGGGGAAUAUUGGACAAUGGGCGCAAGCCUGAUCCAGCCAUGCCGCGUGAGUGAUGAAGGCCUUAGGGUUGUAAAGCUCUUUUGUCCGGGAAGAUAAUGACUGUACCGGAAGAAUAAGCCCCGGCUAACUCCGUG
This 433-nucleotide ribosomal RNA is filed under the name uncultured bacterium. Its description in RNAcentral is "partial 16S ribosomal RNA". It matches the Rfam family "Bacterial small subunit ribosomal RNA", at positions 29 to 507 of the family's 1533-position model. The record is from RNAcentral.